CUCAGCUAGUCAGUCAGCCAGUCAGCCAGUCAGUCAGCCAGUCAGCCACCAUUUAAGAAUGGUAUAACCAAGAUCUAGCUUCGUGAUAACUGUACUGUAUACAUUACAGUACAAUUCUGAUAACAGCACCACCAAGGAGGCUGAUUGGCUGAUUACAGUACCACCAAGGAGUCUGAUUGGCUGAUUAAAGUAACACCAAGGAGGCUGAUUGGCUGAUUACAGUACCACCAAGGAGGCUGAUUGGCUAUCUGUCCUGAGCUCACACCUUGUAAAUCUGCCCACCUGACCUGACUCUACAUAAUGGGA
Long non-coding RNA from Oncorhynchus tshawytscha (Chinook salmon), 306 nucleotides. The record is from Ensembl. Lineage: Eukaryota; Metazoa; Chordata; Actinopteri; Salmoniformes; Salmonidae.